UUGUAUUUCUGUUAAAUUUAUUUUUUACUUUUAGAGUGGCUGUCAUUAUAAUGUAAUUUAAAAUUAUAUUUGUAAAAGUGAUUAUUGGAGUGAGUACAAAUUUUGUUUAUAAAUCUAUGAUAAAUGCAUUCUCCCUUUAAUUUAGGAGGUGGAAAAGUAUAGAGCUGUGUAUAAUAAGCUUCGCUAUGAACAUACAUUUCUCAAGUCAGAAUUUGAACACCAGAAGGAAGAGUAUGCACGUAUUUUAGAUGAAGGAAAAAUAAAAUAUGAAUCAGAGAUUGCAAGACUGGAGGAAGAUAAAGAAGAACUACGUAACCAGCUGCUUAAUGUUGAUCUCACAAAAGACAGCAAACGAGUGGAACAACUUGCUCGAGAAAAAGUCUAUUUGUGUCAAAAAUUAAAAGGUUUAGAGGCUGAAGUAGUGGAAUUAAAGGCUGAAAAGGAGAAUUCUGAGGCUCAGGUGGAAAAUGCCCAAAGAAUACAGGUGCGGCAGUUGGCUGAGAUGCAGGCUACAGUCAGAUCCCUGGA
This 528-nucleotide small RNA is filed under the name Pongo abelii (Sumatran orangutan). RNAcentral describes it as "processed transcript". The record is from RNAcentral. Lineage: Eukaryota; Metazoa; Chordata; Mammalia; Primates; Hominidae.